UUAAAAAAAAAAAAAUGUUUAAAAGUCACCUAUGACCUCCUAAUCACCAAAUCUAAUGGUCUUUCCUCUUGUUAUCCUUGGUUUCCUAAGAUCAUUUGUGAAAUAUACUCUAUAGGAAUAAGAUUAUCUGAUUUCUUUGUUCUUCUGCCUUGUAUGUCCUGAUUCUCUUACGUCUCUGAAAGUUUUUUAACAUUUCCUGCACUUCUUCCCCCAAAACAUAGCGGUUCCUACAUUAGUUAGGAUGCAAACUAGAUUUAAAAGCAAAAAGAGGGAGGAAGGUGAAGAUGGCGGCGGCUGGGGCGCGGGUCCUGGGAGUCCGAUGGCUGCAAAGGGCAAUCUGGACCGUGGUGCGGUUGGGUGCACGGACAGCAACGCACAUUACGAAGGACAUGCUCCCGGGGCCCUAUCCCCAAACCCCGGACGAACGGGCCGCCGCCGCCAAGAAAUACAGUAUGCGGGUAGAAGACUACCAACCGUACCCGGAUGAUGGCAUGGGGUGUGGCAACUACCCGAAGCUCCCUGACCGCUCACAGCAGAAGAGGGAUCCGUGGUAAAACUGGGACCACCCAGACCUGAGGUUGAACUGGGGUGAACCGAUGCACUGGGACUUUGACAUGUGUAUCAGGAACUGUGUGGACACAUCCCGCACGCCUGUUUCCUGGAAUCUCAGGUGUAAGCCCCUCCUCGGCUUCGUGGCCUUCAUGCUGUUCAUGUUUUGGGUUGGGAAGACUUACCCCACCUACCAGCCUAUGGGGCCAAAGCAGUAUCCUUAUAAUAAUCUGUACCUGGAACGAGGCAGCGAUCCCACCAAAGAGCCUGAGCCAGUGGUUCAUUACGAGAUCUGAGGUGGCUUCAUCAGCUUUGUGCUCCUGAACUGACUCCCUCAUUUCUAGAGAUUUAACCUUAAUGAAAUCCCUAAUAAAACUUAGUGCUGUGGUAAAAUAAAUAAAUAAAUAAUAAUAAAAGCAAAAAGAAUGUAUUGGCUUAUAUAAUUGGGAAGUGCAUAGAUAGAAUUGUCUUCAAGAAUAGGCUUAUGUCAUUGGGGCUAAAGUUCCAUUUUUCUGCUAAUAUCUCAACUUUGUCCUCCUGUUUGGGCUUUAUGCUCAGACUGGCUUCCCUCCUAGUAAAAAAAAAUGGCUAUCAGCAAUGUUCAUCUGAUAGCCUUCUUUAUUUCCAAAGGGAGAGAGAAGGAUUCUCUUUUAGCCUUUUCCCAAAAGUCCUAACCCCUAUUCUGAUUGAACAAAUGGAGAAGGUCAUGCUGCCAAGUCUGUCACAAUAUCUUUGUCAAAAGGGGUGAAAUUAUUCUAAUUGGCCUAACUGGUGGAUGAACCUCAUCUAAAAUGACAAGAGGUAACCAGUGUACUUAAAGGUCUCUGUGCUUUUCACUGUGUUCUCUUGGUGGUUGUAUCCUAUUUUUAAUGAUAUAAAUCAUCAUUUUUGUGUGGUUGUUUCUCCAUUCUGUAACUUGACUUCCCACCUACAUUGCUUGCUGUAUAUCUCUUAUCUUAGAUGUACUAUCAUAAGCUUACCUCAUACCAAACAGAAUCAAAUCAAAUUUGAUUUUAAUCCACCUACCCUCACCUACUGUGUUUACAUGUGCAUGUGUGUAUAUGUGUUUCCCUUCCUUCUAAUUUCUCUUUUGUAAACACCUUUCUCCCAGCCACCCACUCUAACCCUGCAGUCGUCUUGGUUCUCCCACUUUCAGCAGCUGUCAAAUCUUGAAUAUAUCUUCUAUUAGUUUGGCCUCGGAUUACAUAAUAUCGACCAAGAGUAAACAGUAUUUCACGUAAAAAGAAGUCCAGAGUUGGAGGAUUACUGGUCAGUCAGUGUAGUGUUAUAUCAAGGAUCUAGGUGCUUUUCUUCUUUAUCCUUAGUGUGCUGAUCUUUGUGCUCAGGCUCAUCCCCUUAUUGUUGCACAUUACUCUUUCUGCUCCAGACAUCACAUUCUCACACAGCCACCAAAGAUAGGAGGAAGUUUGCCCUCCAGUCUCUUGAUUAGGCAAAUAAACCUUUCACAGAACCCCUAUGUCAGAUGUCAUCCUGGUAUGUUCAUGUCCUACUUGCCAGGGGGAAUGGAAAAACCAUUAUCUGGCAUUUCAGUCUAGGAGGAAGUUAGGUGAAUGACUGAAGGGAAGGUGACCAACAAUAUCAGUGACAUGUCUCUAUAGUAUUUUAUGGAAAAGUAAGUUUAAGUAAAUAAGAAUUUCCCAAUAGUAGGAGCAAACUUACAGCACUGCUUACCCCAAGAGUUGAUAUACACUAUACAUAGGAUUUUGGCCAAACAUUGAGAUAGUCAUAAAUGACUGAUUAAAAUUGGAUUAUGUAAAAUUAAGACAUUUGAGUGAUGUAUCCCUGUUCUCCUAAGGUUGAUGUUUUUCUUUUCUUUUUUUAAAUUUAAAUUCAAUUAACAUAUAGUGUAUUAUUAGUUUCAGAGGUAGAGUU
Non-coding RNA from Leptonychotes weddellii (Weddell seal), 2442 nucleotides. Lineage: Eukaryota; Metazoa; Chordata; Mammalia; Carnivora; Phocidae. The record is from RefSeq and is a predicted model, not a curated record.